CCUACGGGAGGCAGCAGUAAGGAAUAUUGGUCAAUGGACGCAAGUCUGAACCAGCCAUGCCGCGUGAAGGAUUAAGGCCCUCUGGGUUGUAAACUUCUUUUAUAGGGGACGAAAAAAGGGCAUUCUUGCUCACUUGACGGUACCCUAGGAAUAAGCACCGGCUAACUCCGUGCCAGCAGCCGCGGUAAUACGGAGGGUGCAAGCGUUAUCCGGAUUUACUGGGUUUAAAGGGUGCGUAGGUGGGUUGGUAAGUCAGUGGUGAAAUCUUCGAGCUUAACUCGGAAACUGCCAUUGAUACUAUCAAUCUUGAAUCAUCUAGAGGUAAGCGGAAUAUGUCAUGUAGCGGUGAAAUGCUUAGAUAUGACAUAGAACACCAAUUGCGAAGGCAGCUUACUAUGGAUGCAUUGACACUGAGGCACGAAAGCGUGGGGAUCAAACAGGAUUAGAUACCCUGGUAGUCCACGCCCUAAACGAUGGAUACUCGACAUUUGUGAUAUACAAUAAGUGUCUGAGCGAAAGCAUUAAGUAUCCCACCUGGAAGUACGACCGCAAGGUUGAAACUUAAGAGUAGUAGCGNGNGAGAGCGACGACGACGACGACGGAGGGAGGAG
This 611-nucleotide ribosomal RNA is filed under the name uncultured bacterium. RNAcentral describes it as "bacterial SSU rRNA". It matches the Rfam family "Bacterial small subunit ribosomal RNA", at positions 338 to 950 of the family's 1533-position model. The record is from RNAcentral.